CUUCGGGAAAAGCAAUAAAACUCAGAGAAAAAUUGUAUGCUCUCAAAAGCCGCGCACGGCAACGCAGGCGCACGCGUACACACAGGCCUGUGGCCCUCAGUUCCAGCUCUGCGAUCCCAGUGCCUGUACCAGCCAGCCAGCCAAAUCGAAGAGGGCCGAUCAAGGAAAGCGGGAGUCGCGGGAUUUCCGGCGCCUAUUCGCGCCCCAUAAGAGCUAAUUCCGGCAAGCACGCGGUGACCAAUCAAUGCCCAGAGCGCUUCCUGACGCCACAGACCCAACUGGCAGCCUAUCUCGCUCCGCAGCCGUCCCCCUUGGAUGUAACCAUGUAGAAACGAAGGGGUGAAGAUGGAAAAGAGACGAAGAAAGUUGCAGCUUAAUACCGGUGUCCACUCAGACUCGAAUGCCACGGGAAGACGGAAUGGAGCGAAUGGUACAGAACCGGUUUCAUCCGGAAAGCCAGCCACAGUCGGGAGAAAGCUUCCGACUGGGAUCUGAAGGCCUGGCAUGGGGAAGGCCUCUGUCGUUGACUGCGAGUAAUACUGAAAAAGACAACAGGACAUUCCAUUCUGUUAGGAAAGGGGUCGUCUCCAAGGGGACACAAGGAUACCGUGCAGAUAAAAUAAAGACCACAGCUUUAUCACCAUCUUGUCAUCCCUGAAUAUGUUCCCUGGCAGAAUCCUCAGCCUGUCUAGCUAUGCCUCUCUCAACAAGUUCAAAUUUGUUUAUUCAUUCCGUCAUUCUUUCAUUCUCUCCACAGUUUGUGUCAAGCACAACUAUGUGUGUUAGGAAAGAGAAAAUCAACUUUGGCUUCAUGAAACAUAUUGUGUUGGGGUCAUACAGCCCCAAAAGAUAAGUAAUUUUCAGGUGUUCAUAACUGCUGUGAUUAACAUUAAACCGGGAUAGUGAAAUAGGGGGGAUGAUACCUAGAAAGAGUGGUCAGGGAAGUUCUUUCUAAGAUUGUGACAUUUGAGUAAAAGCCUAGAGGAGAUGCCUGUCUGGGAGAAAAGUAUCCCAGACAGAGAUAAGGCCAGUUGAGAAAGUGGGGCGUGGAACUCAGUGUGCUGCUGCUGCUGCUGCAAAAUCGCUUUAAUCGUGUCUGACUCUGUGCGACCCCACAGAUGGCAGCCUACCAGGCUCCUCUGUCCCUGGGAUUCUCCAGGCAAGAAUACUGGAGUGGGUUGCCAUUUCCUUCUCCAAUGCAUGCAUGCAUGCUAAGUCACUUCAGUCAUGUCCGACUCUGUGCGACCCCCAUGGACAGCAGCCCAGCAGACUCCUCUGUCCACGGGAUUCUCUAGGCAAGAAUACCGGAGUGGGUUGCCAUUUCCUUCUCCAGGAACUCAGUGUAGUGUGUAUGAAAUGAAUGAGGAGGCCUAUGUGACUGUCACAGCAUAAUGGAGGGAGAGCCAGGAGAUCUGAUGAGAGGGGUAAUGAGGGUCAGGUCCCAUAGGGCUUUCUGGCCAUAGGGAGGACUUUGACUUGAGCCACAGGAGGUUUCUUACCAGAGGAACCCCUAGGCUUCUCUCAGAGACCCAUAUCACACAAUGAUUUUUGAGGAGCUCUUGAUUUACCCCAGAAAAGCCACAGGCCAUCUGCAAUUGAACACGCCUUUCCUGGAAUCCCCUACACUCAAGGAGAAUCCCCCCUACUGCUCCCAGUGAACAUCCGUGUCAAUUGAAGAUACCCUCAGGAGAGACAAAGCCAAGGAACCUCUUGGUGUGAGGGAGGUCACACUGAGUCUUGCAAAGGCAAAGAGGGAUGAUAUAACAAGCACAGAGAUGGCAGAGAAAAAGACAAAUAUAGAGCAUUAGACAGGGAUGAAGAGUCUACUUCUGGCAGCAACCUGUCCCCACUUAGUUAGCACCCACCUACAGGCCCCCAGCCCUGCUACUGGAUGAUGUACAGUACAUUUUCUCUAUAGGAGAAUAAAAGCCCCUCCCCAGGGACUGUCUCUAGGGAA
Molecule: long non-coding RNA, 1957 nt
Filed under: Bos indicus x Bos taurus (hybrid cattle)
Lineage: Eukaryota; Metazoa; Chordata; Mammalia; Artiodactyla; Bovidae
Description: lncRNA (ENSBIXG00000029020.1)
Source: RNAcentral